GAACGUCUUUACCCUAACUUCUUUUACUUUUUUUCUCUUUCCCUCAACUAGUAGUCCAGAACUUCCAUGGCAAUCCCGUCUAGGCUUCAGGGCUGACUAAAACUUCACCUUCGAGUCUCACUCAGUGAAUCAGCUUUCGGUCCUCUCAAGCUCUUUUAUUUAUCCAGAUAUGCUGCAAAAUGAGAUUUUUAUCAAUGUUCAACCGCAUAAUGAAAAAGGAGUAUCAGAAUGAUCCAUAUUGUCAGUAUUUUUCUGAGAGAUAUUCUAGAUGUCGACUGAGAUGCAUCAAUAUUUGUGGUUUAAUGGACGAACACAAGGCCUAUAUCAAAUGUUACUUGGCUCACAUGUUAUUCUGUCAUAUGGAACAAAGAUAUUUCAACUCAUUUUGUCCUCAAAGAUUUCCUUUUAUUGAGAUUGCAACGGGAAGGUGGCUUCAGAUGGCUAAAAAUGAAGUUGCAUUAGAAGUUGUAUCCAAUUGUGAAACUCUCAAGUUUGUGUGUUGAUGUUUGGCUUAAUGAAUCAUUUGGAUACAAUUUGGGACCAAAGUGCGUGAAUUGGAGCGAAAAUCGGACGAAAAGGCAAAAGUGCGAAUUUGAGGGCCACAGGCAGCGUGGGGUGCUACCGGUGGCGCUCAAAAUAGAAUGCUAAAAAAUUGAGCGCCAGGGCCAGUGCCCCACGCUGCCCUGGACGCUCAAAACGUGAACAUGUCCUAUUUCGCCCGGGACUUAGUUAUUUCGGCCCUACACGGUCCCAACUCGUAUAAAGGGGAUCCUAAACCUAUUUUGGAGAGGGAUGACGUUUUUGUGAGUAACUUUUGACCAAGGGAGAGCACAGAGCCGUCGUGGAGGCGGGGUUUUAUCUUUUCUUCCACCAAACUUAGUAAUUUUUAUGUUUCUUUGUAUGAUUUGUUGUUUUGCUACCAUUUCAAUGUGGAGCUUAACUUAACGUUCUAGGAUCGUGGU
Long non-coding RNA from Nicotiana attenuata, 962 nucleotides. RefSeq lists it as uncharacterized. Lineage: Eukaryota; Viridiplantae; Streptophyta; Magnoliopsida; Solanales; Solanaceae. The record is from RefSeq and is a predicted model, not a curated record. The transcript is spliced from 5 exons.